UUCUGACAGUUUGUUAGCUGUCCCCCAAAAACUGAAUGCAAACCACAGUACACUGUGAAGACAGUGAAGCAUGGUGGAGCAAGGAUCAUGAUAUGGGGAUGUCUC
Thalassophryne amazonica is the source of this 105-nucleotide long non-coding RNA. RefSeq lists it as uncharacterized. The record is from RefSeq and is a predicted model, not a curated record. NCBI's taxonomy places the organism in Eukaryota, Metazoa, Chordata, Actinopteri, Batrachoidiformes, Batrachoididae. The transcript has 3 exons.